RNAcentral lists this ribosomal RNA (574 nucleotides) under uncultured bacterium. Its description in RNAcentral is "partial 16S ribosomal RNA". It matches the Rfam family "Bacterial small subunit ribosomal RNA", at positions 355 to 920 of the family's 1533-position model. The record is from RNAcentral.
UGGGGAAUAUUGCACAAUGGGCGCAAGCCUGAUGCAGCCAUGCCGCGUGUGUGAAGAAGGCCUUCGGGUUGUAAAGCACUUUCAGCGAGGAGGAAGGUGGUGAACUUAAUACGUUCAUCAAUUGACGUUACUCGCAGAAGAAGCACCGGCUAACUCCGUGCCAGCAGCCGCGGUAAUACGGAGGGUGCAAGCGUUAAUCGGAAUUACUGGGCGUAAAGCGCACGCAGGCGGUUUGUUAAGUCAGAUGUGAAAUCCCCGGGCUCAACCUGGGAACUGCAUUUGAAACUGGCAAGCUAGAGUCUCGUAGAGGGGGGUAGAAUUCCAGGUGUAGCGGUGAAAUGCGUAGAGAUCUGGAGGAAUACCGGUGGCGAAGGCGGCCCCCUGGACGAAGACUGACGCUCAGGUGCGAAAGCGUGGGGAGCAAACAGGAUUAGAUACCCCUGGUAGUCCAGCGCUGUAAACGAUGUCGAUUUGGAGGUUGUGCCCUUGAGGCGUGGCUUCCGGAGCUAACGCGUUAAAUCGACCGCCUGGGGAGUACGGCCGCAAGGUUAAAACUCAAAUGAAUUGCGGGGUC